CAAACUGGAGAUGGCGACCGGCGCACGGGUGAGUAACACGUAUCCAACCUGCCUCAUACUCGGGGAUAGCCUUUCGAAAGAAAGAUUAAUAUCCGAUAGCAUAUAUUUCCCGUAUGGGUUUUAUAUUAAAGAAAUUCGGUAUGAGAUGGGGAUGCGUUCCAUUAGUUUGUUGGGGGGUAACGGCCCACCAAGACUACGAUGGAUAGGGGUUCUGAGAGGAAGGUCCCCCACAUUGGAACUGAGACACGGUCCAA
Molecule: ribosomal RNA, 254 nt
Filed under: uncultured bacterium
Lineage: Bacteria
Description: partial 16S ribosomal RNA
Rfam family: Bacterial small subunit ribosomal RNA
Source: RNAcentral